Megalops cyprinoides (Indo-Pacific tarpon) is the source of this 233-nucleotide long non-coding RNA. RefSeq lists it as uncharacterized. The record is from RefSeq and is a predicted model, not a curated record. NCBI's taxonomy places the organism in Eukaryota, Metazoa, Chordata, Actinopteri, Elopiformes, Megalopidae. The transcript has 3 exons.
AUCAUCAUCAUUGUGUGCGGUGUGGCAGCGUUGGUCUUCAUCCUGCUCUUGGCCCUGGGGAUGAAGCUGCUUCUGAGGAAGGAGAUCUUGCACAACAAAACCCGGAGGGAACAGAUCAGCAACGCCACAGUCGCCGACGUGUCCUGAUUUUGGAAGCACCCCCAGUCGUGGAUUCAGAUGGGAGACACAACGACUUCAGUGUGAAUUUAUUCUAGUUCGUUUCUGUUGCGUUG